RNAcentral lists this ribosomal RNA (440 nucleotides) under uncultured bacterium. Its description in RNAcentral is "bacterial SSU rRNA". It matches the Rfam family "Bacterial small subunit ribosomal RNA", at positions 954 to 1392 of the family's 1533-position model. The record is from RNAcentral.
GCUAAACGCGAAGAACCUUACCUACCCUUGACAUGUCCGGAAGCCUGCUGAAAGGCGGGGGUGCUCGAAAGAGAACCGGAACACAGGUGCUGCAUGGCUGUCGUCAGCUCGUGUCGUGAGAUGUUGGGUUAAGUCCCGCAACGAGCGCAACCCUCGUCUUUAGUUGCCAGCAUUCAGUUGGGAACUCUAAGGAGACCGCCGGUGACAAACCGGAGGAAGGUGGGGAUGACGUCAAGUCAUCAUGGCCUUUAUGGCCAGGGCUACACACGUGCUACAAUGGCAGGUACAGAGGGAAGCCAACCAGCGAUGGGGAGCCAAUCCCAGAAAGCCUGUCUUAGUCCGGAUUGCAGUCUGCAACUCGACUGCAUGAAGUUGGAAUCGCUAGUAAUCGCAGAUCAGCAUUGCUGCGGUGAAUACGUUCCCGGGUCUUGUACACACCG